GACGAACGCUGGCGGCGUGCUUAACACAUGCAAGUCGAACGAGAAUCUACUGAAAGAGUUUUCGGACAAUGGAUGUAGAGGAAAGUGGCGGACGGGUGAGUAACGCGUGAGGAACCUGCCUUGAAGAGGGGGACAACAGUUGGAAACGACUGCUAAUACCGCAUGAUGCAUAGGGUUCGCAUGAUUCUUAUGCCAAAGAUUUAUCGCUUCAAGAUGGCCUCGCGUCUGAUUAGCUAGUUGGCGGGGUAACGGCCCACCAAGGCGACGAUCAGUAGCCGGACUGAGAGGUUGAACGGCCACAUUGGGACUGAGAUACGGCCCAGACUCCUACGGGAGGCAGCAGUGGGGAAUAUUGGGCAAUGGGCGCAAGCCUGACCCAGCAACGCCGCGUGAAGGAAGAAGGCUUUCGGGUUGUAAACUUCUUUUAAGAGGGAAGAGCAGAGGACGGUACCUCUAGAAUAAGCCACGGCUAACUACGUGCCAGCAGCCGCGGUAAUACGUAGGUGGCAAGCGUUGUCCGGAUUUACUGGGUGUAAAGGGCGUGCAGCCGGGUCUGCAAGUCAGAUGUGAAAUCCAUGGGCUCAACCCAUGAACUGCAUUUGAAACUGUAGAUCUUGAGUGUCGGAGGGGCAAUCGGAAUUCCUAGUGUAGCGGUGAAAUGCGUAGAUAUUAGGAGGAACACCAGUGGCGAAGGCGGAUUGCUGGACGAUAACUGACGGUGAGGCGCGAAAGUGUGGGGAGCAAACAGGAUUAGAUACCCCGGUAGUCCACACUGUAAACGAUGAAUACUAGGUGUGCGGGGACUGACCCCCUGCGUGCCGCAGUAAACACAAUAAGUAUUCCACCUGGGGAGUACGAUCGCAAGGUUGAAACUCAAAGGAAUUGACGGGGGCCCGCACAAGCGGUGGAUUAUGUGGUUUAAUUCGAAGCAACGCGAAGAACCUUACCAAGUCUUGACAUCCUUCUGACCGGUACUUAACCGUACCUUCUCUUCGGAGCAGGAGUGACAGGUGGUGCAUGGUUGUCGUCAGCUCGUGUCGUGAGAUGUUGGGUUAAGUCCCGCAACGAGCGCAACCCUUAUCUUUAGUAGCCAGCGGUUCGGCCGGGCACUCUAGAGAGACUGCCAGGGAUAACCUGGAGGAAGGCGGGGAUGACGUCAAAUCAUCAUGCCCCUUAUGACUUGGGCUACACACGUGCUACAAUGGCGUAAACAAAGGGAAGCGAAGCUGUGAAGCCGAGCAAAUCUCAAAAAUAACGUCUCAGUUCGGACUGUAGUCUGCAACCCGACUACACGAAGCUGGAAUCGCUAGUAAUCGCAGAUCAGAAUGCUGCGGUGAAUACGUUCCCGGGUCUUGCACA
This 1359-nucleotide ribosomal RNA is filed under the name uncultured bacterium. Its description in RNAcentral is "bacterial SSU rRNA". It matches the Rfam family "Bacterial small subunit ribosomal RNA", at positions 28 to 1387 of the family's 1533-position model. The record is from RNAcentral.